RNAcentral lists this ribosomal RNA (395 nucleotides) under uncultured bacterium. Its description in RNAcentral is "bacterial SSU rRNA". It matches the Rfam family "Bacterial small subunit ribosomal RNA", at positions 402 to 809 of the family's 1533-position model. The record is from RNAcentral.
UGAGGGAUGACGGCCUUCGGGUUGUAAACCUCUUUCAGCAGGGAAGAAGCGAAAGUGACGGUACCUGCAGAAGAAGCGCCGGCUAACUACGUGCCAGCAGCCGCGGUAAUACGUAGGGUGCGAGCGUUGUCCGGAAUUAUUGGGCAUAAAGAGCUCGUAGGCGGCUUGUCACGUCGGUUGUGAAAGCCCGGGGCUUAACCCCGGGUCUGCAGUCGAUACGGGCAGGCUAGAGUUCGGUAGGGGAGAUCGGAAUUCCUGGUGUAGCGGUGAAAUGCGCAGAUAUCAGGAGGAACACCGGUGGCGAAGGCGGAUCUCUGGGCCGAUACUGACGCUGAGGAGCGAAAGCGUGGGGAGCGAACAGGAUUAGAUACCCUGGUAGUCCACGCCGUAAACGG